AAGCGGGAACAGCUCAAGCUUGAAAUCUGAAGGCGCUUGCGUCUUCAGAAUUGUAGUUGAGAGAAGUGUUUUCACCGGGAUGAGCGAUGGCCUAAGUUGCUUGGAACAGCACGUCAUAGAGGGUGAGAAUCCCGUCUGUGGUUGGUUGCUCCCUCGGAACGAUGCACUUUCGAAGAGUCGGGUUGUUUGGGAAUGCAGCCCAAAAUGGGUGGUAAACUCCAUCUAAAGCUAAAUAUUGCCACGAGACCGAUAGCGAACAAGUACCGUGAGGGAAAGAUGAAAAGCACUUUGAAAAGAGAGUUAAAAGCACGUGAAACCGUUGAAAGGGAAACGCGCUCGGCUAGCAAUGCGCGCCUGUGGUUCAGCCGGCUAAUCUUGUGAGUUGGCGUGCGGCGGAUCCGAAUGGACCGCCCGCGUCAGCAUCGCAGGGCGAGCUGUGGUGCACUCCAUGGGCGUGCGCGUCAGCGUCGGUUCCAGACGAGCGAUGAGGUGCGUGGGGGAAGGUAGCUCGGUUCUUCGGAUCCGAGUGUUAAGACCCUGGUGCUGGGCUCGUCGUGGGACCGAGGAGAGAGAUGAUCGCUGCGGCACCUGCCUCUCGGGGCUAGCCAGCUGCCGUUAGAUUUGCGUCAGGCGUUGAGGACUGCACGCAGUGCUUGAUGUUGAGGCGUGGUCUAGUGGUGGUGUGGGUAUAGAGGUGCCUAGGACGCUGGCGUCCAAAUGGCCGUGCGCGACCCGUCUUGAAACACGGACCAAGGAGUCUAACAUGUGCGCGAGUCUUAGGGUGUACAAGCCCUCGGGCGGAAUGAAAGUGAAGGUUCGGCGCUGGUCGAGCUGAGGUGAGAGCUGUAUGUGGAAUGAUUGCCACUGCGGCGCAUCAUCGGCCGGUCCAUCCUGCUCUCAGGAGGAUCCGAGCAAGAGCGUAUUUGUUGGGACCCGAAAGAUGGUGAACUAUGCCUGAAUAGGGUGAAGCCAGAGGAAACUCUGGUGGAGGCUCGUAGGGAUUCUAACGUGCAAAUUGAUCUCAAAAUUUGGGUAUAGGGGC
RNAcentral lists this ribosomal RNA (1042 nucleotides) under Leucosolenida sp. 12 JV-2020. RNAcentral describes it as "partial large subunit ribosomal RNA". It matches the Rfam family "Eukaryotic large subunit ribosomal RNA", at positions 96 to 924 of the family's 3401-position model. Lineage: Eukaryota; Metazoa; Porifera; Calcarea; Leucosolenida. The record is from RNAcentral.